This 541-nucleotide ribosomal RNA is filed under the name uncultured prokaryote. RNAcentral describes it as "bacterial SSU rRNA". It matches the Rfam family "Bacterial small subunit ribosomal RNA", at positions 355 to 896 of the family's 1533-position model. The record is from RNAcentral.
UAAGGAAUAUUGGUCAAUGGACGCAAGUCUGAACCAGCUAUGCCGCGUGAAGGAUUAAGGUCCUCUGGAUUGUAAACUUCUUUUAUCUGGGACGAAAAAAGGUCUUUCUAGACCCCUUGACGGUACCAGAUGAAUAAGCACCGGCUAACUCCGUGCCAGCAGCCGCGGUAAUACGGAGGGUGCAAGCGUUAUCCGGAUUCACUGGGUUUAAAGGGUGCGUAGGCGGGUAGGUAAGUCAGUGGUGAAAUCCUGGAGCUCAACUCCAGAACUGCCAUUGAUACUAUCUAUCUUGAAUAUUGUGGAGGUAAGCGGAAUAUGUCAUGUAGCGGUGAAAUGCUUAGAUAUGACAUAGAACACCCAUUGCGAAGGCAGCUUACUACGCAUAUAUUGACGCUGAGGCACGAAAGCGUGGGGAUCAAACAGGAUUAGAUACCCUGGUAGUCCACGCCCUAAACGAUGGAUACUCGACAUACGCGAUACACUGUGUGUGUCUGAGCGAAAGCAUUAAGUAUCCCACCUGGGAAGUACGUUCGCAAGAAUG